Molecule: non-coding RNA, 102 nt
Organism: Schizophyllum commune H4-8
Lineage: Eukaryota; Fungi; Basidiomycota; Agaricomycetes; Agaricales; Schizophyllaceae
Source: Rfam
GCCCCCGUUGUCUAAUGGUCAUGACGUCAGACUUCUACGCAUCCCGUAAAGGGCGUAGAGAAAAUCAUCUGGAGGUUGCGGGUUCGAGUCCCGCCGGGGGUU